GGGACGCGUCGUAGAACAGUUGCCUCUCUUUGUCAAUCUGCGUGUCGGCCUGCCAACCAGCAAAAUAAAAGAACCGGGUCGGCGUCCAGUCAGAGAAAGAUGGUCCCCGAGGUCUGAGAAAAGGUUCCCAGGAGAGGAACAGGAAAUGGGCUUUUCAUACCAGACGGCCAUCUCGCAAGCAUGGUCGUAGUGGUUGCUGCGAGCAGUCGGGUCUGCUGAGCCAAUAAAUUGCUGAGAAGUCAAGAGGUCACCAAACAACAGCAUAUUGCGGGAACAAACAAACUCAAUAGCAUGUGUUAAGCUAAAUAUGCCGUUAGCGCCGUUCCAUUACGAGAGGUCGGAGGGAAGGAAGAAAGGAAGAAAGAAAGAAAGAAAGAAAGAAAGAAAGAAAGAAAGAAAGAAAGAAAGAAAGAAAGAAAGAAAGAAAGAAAGAAAGAAAGAAAGAAAGAAAGAAAGAAAGAAAGAAAGAAAGAAAGAAAGAAAGAAAGAAAGAAAGAAAGAAAGAAAGAAAGAAAGAAAGAAAGAAAGAAAGAAAGAAAGAAAGAAAGAAAGAAAGACAGAAAGACAGAAAGACAGAAAGACAGAAAGACAGACAGACAGACAGACAGACAGACAGACAGACAGACAGACAGACAGACAGACAGACAGACAGACAGACAGACAGACAGACAGACAGACAGACAGACAGACAGACAGACAGACAGACAGACAGACAGACAGACAGACAGACAGACAGACAGACAGACAGACAGACAGACAGACAGACAGACAGACAGAAAGAAAGAAAGAAAGAAAGAAAGAAAGAAAGAAAGAAAGAAAGAAAGAAAGAAAGAAAGAAAGAAAGAAAGAAAGAAGGAAGGAAGGAAGGAA
Syngnathus typhle (broad-nosed pipefish) is the source of this 870-nucleotide long non-coding RNA. RefSeq lists it as uncharacterized. Lineage: Eukaryota; Metazoa; Chordata; Actinopteri; Syngnathiformes; Syngnathidae. The transcript is spliced from 3 exons. The record is from RefSeq and is a predicted model, not a curated record.